RNAcentral lists this ribosomal RNA (671 nucleotides) under Chryseobacterium sp. RNAcentral describes it as "bacterial SSU rRNA". It matches the Rfam family "Bacterial small subunit ribosomal RNA", at positions 772 to 1457 of the family's 1533-position model. The record is from RNAcentral. Lineage: Bacteria; Pseudomonadati; Bacteroidota; Flavobacteriia; Flavobacteriales; Weeksellaceae.
ACAGGAUUAGAUACCCUGGUAGUCCACGCCGUAAACGAUGCUAACUCGUUUUUGGGUUUUCGGAUUCAGAGACUAAGCGAAAGUGAUAAGUUAGCCACCUGGGGAGUACGUUCGCAAGAAUGAAACUCAAAGGAAUUGACGGGGGCCCGCACAAGCGGUGGAUUAUGUGGUUUAAUUCGAUGAUACGCGAGGAACCUUACCAAGGCUUAAAUGGGAAUUGAUCGGUUUAGAAAUAGACCUUCCUUCGGGCAAUUUUCAAGGUGCUGCAUGGUUGUCGUCAGCUCGUGCCGUGAGGUGUUAGGUUAAGUCCUGCAACGAGCGCAACCCCUGUUACUAGUUGCUACCAUUAAGUUGAGGACUCUAGUAAGACUGCCUACGCAAGUAGAGAGGAAGGUGGGGAUGACGUCAAAUCAUCACGGCCCUUACGCCUUGGGCCACACACGUAAUACAAUGGCAGGUACAGAGGGCAGCUACACAGCGAUGUGAUGCGAAUCUCGAAAGCCUGUCUCAGUUCGGAUUGGAGUCUGCAACUCGACUCUAUGAAGCUGGAAUCGCUAGUAAUCGCGCAUCAGCCAUGGCGCGGUGAAUACGUUCCCGGGCCUUGUACACACCGCCCGUCAAGCCAUGGAAGUCUGGGGUACCUGAAGUCGGUGACCGUAAAAGGAGCUGCC